GACGAACGCUGGCGGCGUGCUUAACACAUGCAAGUCGAACGGAAAGGCCCUGCUUUUGUGGGGUGCUCGAGUGGCGAACGGGUGAGUAACACGUGAGUAGCCUGCCCUUGACUUUGGGAUAACUUCAGGAAACUGGGGCUAAUACCGGAUAGGAGCUCAUGCUGCAGGGUGGGGGUUGGAAAGUUUCGGCGGUUGCGGAGGGACUCGCGGCUAACAAGCUUGUGGGUGGGGGAGUGGCUUACCAAGGCUUUGACGGGUAGCCGGCCUGCGAGGGGGACCGGCCACAUUGGGGCUGUGAUACGGCCCAGACUCCUACGGGAGGCAGCAGUGGGGAAUAUUGCACAAUGGGCGGAAGCGUGAUGCAGCAACGCCGCGUGCGGGAGGAGGGCCUUCGGGUUGUAAACCGCUUUCGCCUGGGACGAGGCGUGAUUGCCGGUAAUGGGUAAAGAAGCACCGGCUACCUACGU
RNAcentral lists this ribosomal RNA (467 nucleotides) under uncultured bacterium. RNAcentral describes it as "partial 16S ribosomal RNA". It matches the Rfam family "Bacterial small subunit ribosomal RNA", at positions 28 to 506 of the family's 1533-position model. The record is from RNAcentral.